CAAAAACAUGUCUUAAUGGAGAAUAUAUAUUAAGUCAGGCCUGCCCAAUGAUAAUUUAUUUAAUGGCUGCAGUAAUUUAACUGUACAAAGGUAGCAUAAUAAUUAGUUUUUUAAUUGAGGACUAGUAUGAAGGGUUUUAUGAAAUAUAAGCUUUAUUACAUUAAUAAGUAUAAUUUUAUUUUAUAGUAAAAAAGCUAUAAUUUAUAUAUAAGACGAGAAGACCCUAUAGAUUUUUAUAAGUGGAUUAAUAAAUAUGAUUAGAAUUUAAUUUAUUUAUUUAAUUGGAUUAUUUUAUUGGGGUGAUAGUAAAAUUAGGUUAAUUUUUAUAUAAUUAUUACAUUUAUGUAUGAAAAUUUGAUCCAUUCGAUGAUAGUUAGAUUAAAUUACCUUAGGGAUAACAGCAUAAUUUAUUUGGAAAGUUCAUAUUGAUAAAUGAGAUUAUGACCUCGAUGUUGGAUUAAGAUUUAUUUUAGGAGCAGAAAUUUAGAAAUUAGAGUCUGUUCGACU
RNAcentral lists this ribosomal RNA (507 nucleotides) under Lasia carbonanicus. Its description in RNAcentral is "partial 16S ribosomal RNA". The record is from RNAcentral. Lineage: Eukaryota; Metazoa; Arthropoda; Insecta; Diptera; Acroceridae.